Molecule: long non-coding RNA, 2046 nt
Organism: Anas platyrhynchos (mallard)
Lineage: Eukaryota; Metazoa; Chordata; Aves; Anseriformes; Anatidae
Source: RefSeq, a predicted model, not a curated record
AGGUAAUCACCGGGGCUAGAUUGAAUUUCACACAGGUUUGGGGGAUUAGUUCAUACAGAAAGAAAAGCGAGUCAGCUCCAGCUGAAUGCUGUUUCCAGAGGUCUAAUUAGAAGUGCAUGCAUGUGAUGAGGAGAGCUGCUAGGCACGCAAGGUUAUUUAGGUACCUUUAUGUAGGAGGCCCAGGUUGUAUAGUGCUCCUUCCCAGGGUUGUUGUUCAUGCCCAAGGAGUGCAGUAAGGUGGCUUGGAAAAGAAACUAAGGCAGCUGCACAACAGGAAGCUAUCCAACAAAGGGAGAGGAAAUCCUGGGUUGCUUGGUUCAACAGAAUAUAAAUGAAGAAAACAUUAUGAAUAAGGAAUCAAAGCUUGCAGAAGACAUUUUGUGUCAGAUUCUGACCGCUGAUUUGAAAAUGUGCAACAGCUGAUGUAAGGUUUCUGCACACAUGAAUCCUACAGAGCAACCUGCAGGGAGCAGGAGGAAGAACCUAGUGUCUCUGCCUGCAGCACUGCUCGGAUUAAAGGCCCACUGUUGAGUUAUGCAACCACCAUCACCUCUACCAUGUCAAAAUACCUCCUAGUAACUACCUAGAUGAAAAGCACUCAGCUCACUAGGAAACUCUGUCCAUCUCACCCCAGUGAUUCAUACAUUUGUCACCUCCAGCAUGAACCCCUGUAACUGAAGUGGAAUCUGAAACCUGUGAAUGGAUACAGAAGGUGACUGCUGACUUUUUCCAUGGUGAAAUGUGCUGUUAGCAGAGUAUGUCUGAAUUCAGGUACCUCAGAAAGCCUCCACUUUCUCUCAGUACCUGUUUACAGCCCUAGCCACCAUUUUCAAAGCAAGUAAAGAAAUUUCAGAGACAGCUGCAUACCUCUGAUGUGCCUUAGAUCACAGGUUUAAAAAAAAAAAAAACGUGAGAACUAUUCACAAUGUGAAUCUGAUAUCUGAUUUUGCUUUGCACUGUCUGCACCUCUUGCCAAGGUAAUCCUGCUGUGGAAUGCUUUGCUGGAACCUGAUCAUGUUCCUGAAAUAUUGCAGUUUUCCCUGUGUGAUUGGGCUGAGAGGAUUUUUUUUUUUUUACCAUAUGUGACACAAUUCAACAGCUGUUUUUAUUCAUGAAUCCUUUCCUCCUUUCUUCCCCCUUCCUCAAAAUAAAAAACAUUUCAUGAAUGUUGAUUACACAGGGCAUGUGUAAAGAAUCCCAUCUAGGCAACUAAAGACUUUACUACUGUUUUUCUAUGUCCCAUCGAAGGGGCUCAGAUAGUGCCUUGUUCUGGUUAUGAUUUAAGCCUUGGUAGCUCAUUUUUUCACCUUCAGACUCUUUCCAGCUUCUGUUACUUUUAUCUCUGGGAGGUCACAUAGUUUUUUAAGUACUCUGAGUUUUGAAGCAAUUUGAAUUCUGAAGUUCAUAAGUGAGAACUCCUGAGGACAAAAUUAAUUCAAGUGUUUUAUUACCUUGGCUAUCUGUGGAAUACAAUUUGUUUUAAAUACUGAGAUACUCUCUGCCCAAACUGUGUUUGGGGUUGUAGAGAUAUUGUGUUUCUGAUGUGAUAACAAAAAUGCUGGAAAUAGUCAAGGAAAGGCAACUGUCUCAUUUAGAAUGAAAACACAGGAAGGUGGAAGGCAAUAUUUACAACUUGCUUCUAAAUGAGUGAAAUAGUUUAAUAUUUAAGGUUAUUUUUUUAUACAUUUUUAAGGUUAUUUAAGGUUAUUUUGACAGGUGAAUAAAUCCAGGGGAGUACAGGUCAAACCACUGUAGAGAAGAUGGCUUUAUAUGAUAGUAAAGAAUGUGAAUAAAAGCAAAUUAAACUGAAAGGAAUACUCCAUCAGAAUGUACAUUGUUCUUUCAAAGAGUAGGGCAGUAAUGGUUGACACAGAAGGCUUAGAUGGAAAUGAGGGUACACAGUGCAGUGUUACUGCACUGAGACAAAGACUUCAAAAUGCAUGCAAGAAUGUCUACAUUGCAUAGCAAAAAUGCCUUUGGUCUUCAAAGCAUAAAUCACUGUUGAGUUAGUAUUCCCAUCACAAGCAAGAUUCAUGGGUAAACUGG